Molecule: ribosomal RNA, 101 nt
Filed under: uncultured bacterium
Lineage: Bacteria
Description: partial 16S ribosomal RNA
Rfam family: Bacterial small subunit ribosomal RNA
Source: RNAcentral
UACACACCGCCCGUCACAUCACGAAAGUUGUCUGUACCGGAAGCCGGUGGGCUAACCCGAAAGGGAGGCAGCCGUCCAUGGUAUGGAGAGCGAUUGGGGUG